AUUCGAUGAUAUAUUUGUUGCAGGGAGCUGUCAGAUUACUGUCAUCUCCCUUUUCUAAGUCCUGCUUGUUGAUUUGCUGAACCUCAACAACAAUGGUAGCGACCUGGUUGUUGUGGAGGAAGACAAAAAGAGGUGCCUCAUGCCAUCAUGUUCAUGAGAUGGGCUUUGGGAAGUUGGACAAUGAUGAAAAUCGGUUAGCACCAGCGACAGAAGGCUGCUGAGGACGCUAGAGUCAGUGGUGAGUGGUGACUUGGAGGGUCAGAGAGAGAAAUGGGAUCAGCGCAGAACCGUCUGGUGCCACAAUACCCGUCAGUUCAAUUUUCUUUAUUGCAUUCUUCUGAAAUUUUCUGAGACAAAUCAAUUACAAGAUAACAAGAAUCCGUUGUCAGUUGCUAUAAAGCCAAGAGCAGCAAAGCCAAGUCCAGGAUAAGCCUGUACUCUGAAGGUCUUGCUUCCCAAGCCAGGGAAGCAAUUGAUUCAUGCAUUAAUUUGACUAUGCGAUGAACACAAAUAAAGCAGUCGAAUGGUAGCCAAGGUAGAUGAGAACAAUGAGACACACAUCGCCGUGUGCUGAUGGGUCAGUCAGAGGCCAUCCUAGCCA
This is a non-coding RNA of Lolium perenne, 601 nucleotides long. The record is from RefSeq and is a predicted model, not a curated record. NCBI's taxonomy places the organism in Eukaryota, Viridiplantae, Streptophyta, Magnoliopsida, Poales, Poaceae.